Gorilla gorilla gorilla (western lowland gorilla) is the source of this 946-nucleotide long non-coding RNA. RefSeq lists it as uncharacterized. The transcript is spliced from 2 exons. NCBI's taxonomy places the organism in Eukaryota, Metazoa, Chordata, Mammalia, Primates, Hominidae. The record is from RefSeq and is a predicted model, not a curated record.
CGCCUGUGUGCUGCCGGCGUUUGUGCGCGCCUGCUUGUAUGUAUGUGUUCGCGGGCGCGCGCGUGUGUACGUGUGUGUGCGCGCGUACGCGUGUAUGUUCGUGCGCGCUUGCGGGGACGUGCUUGUGGAGGGCGGAGAGAGGGAUGGGCGUGGCUAAUAUGAAAGCUGCACCUUUACUAGUUAGCUACCAUGCGUCAUUAUUUAUCAGAAGAUAUAUGCUGCUUAAACACAAAUACGUUUUAAAAUAUAUUUUAGGCAGUAGGGUUUUGGGGGGUUUUUUUGCAAGUUCUUUUAGUGAGUAAAUUUAGUGAUAAAUGAUUUUUUUUUCUUUUGAGACAGUUUGCUCUGUCGCCCAGGAUGGAGUGCAGUGCAGUGGCGCGAUCCUGCAACCUCCGCCUCUCAAGUUCAAGCGAUUCUUCUGCCUCAGCCUCCCGAGUAGCUGGGAUUACAGACGCGCGCCACCCCACCCAGAUGAUCUUUUUAAAUGCAAAAUGCCAUCGACGCAGAAAAUCAAAGAAUCAGCUUAAGUUCCAGAAAAUAGAAAAACCAACCAAAUGAACAAUAAGACAAACAACAACAACAACAACAACAACAAAAAAGGCCUUUUGGGAUUUUGGAUGAUAUUGCAUCAAAUCCAUACAUUAACCUGAGAGACGAGAGACUUCUUCAACAUUGAGCCUUCCAAUCAUGAUUUUCAAUUCAUUUAGGUCUUCUGUAAUGUUUCUUAAUAUAAUUGUAUUUGUUGCUAUGCAGAAGUUUCACUGAUCUUUUAUUAUAUCUCUCUAUAUAUUUGAUAUUUCUGACACUAUUGUAAAUAGUAUCUUUUUAAUAUUUCAUUUUCCUUUUUUGUUGCUUAAAUAUAUAUAAAAUAAGCUAAUUUUUCCAAACUAAUUUUUAUAUCCAGCAACCCUGCUAAAAUUUCUUAUCCAAUAAAAAUAUAAAUGUA